RNAcentral lists this transfer RNA (90 nucleotides) under Methylobacterium haplocladii. RNAcentral's name for it is "tRNA-Ile". The record is from RNAcentral. Lineage: Bacteria; Pseudomonadati; Pseudomonadota; Alphaproteobacteria; Hyphomicrobiales; Methylobacteriaceae.
CGCCGCGACGGCCGGCGUGUUGGUGCCGCCGGUGAUGGUGGCGUCGGUGCUCAUGAUGAUCCUCCUCCGGUGCGGCCCGGGCCGCGACGG